RNAcentral lists this ribosomal RNA (253 nucleotides) under uncultured bacterium. RNAcentral's name for it is "partial 16S ribosomal RNA". It matches the Rfam family "Bacterial small subunit ribosomal RNA", at positions 524 to 776 of the family's 1533-position model. The record is from RNAcentral.
UACGUAGGGUGCAAGCGUUAAUCGGAAUUACUGGGCGUAAAGCGUGCGCAGGCGGUUGGGCAAGACAGAGGUGAAAUCCCCGGGCUUAACCUGGGAAUGGCCUUUGUGACUGCCCGGCUAGAGUGUGUCAGAGGGGGGUAGAAUUCCACGUGUAGCAGUGAAAUGCGUAGAUAUCUGGAGGAAUACCGGUGGCGAAGGCGGCAUCCUGGACCAUUACUGACGCCGAGGCGCGAAAGCUAGGGGAGCAAACGGG